GAAGUAUGAAUGGAAAUUGGGUAUGUGAAAUGUGAAUAUAUAAGUGAAAAGGAAUGAACAGGAACUUGUGAAUGAAAUGUAUAAAUAUAGGCUGAAUGUGCUAUAUAUGAGUGAAAUAUCUGGAAAAAAUGUGCAUUUGAAUAUUUGGAAAACAGCAUUGUGGGACUAGUGUUUGGAAUGGGAGAUAGUGAGGGAGAAGUGGUGUGAUGUGCUGAGAUAUAACAAUAAAAAAAUCAGCAUGUUAGAGUAAAAAUGUGUGAAUGACAGAAUGAUAUGGGUGAAGAUGAAACUGGGAUUGCAGAAGUACUUUUGAUUGUUGUACAUGCUCCAAUAUAUGAUGUGAGUGAAUAUGAGAAAAACAAGUUCCAGUAUGCUGUGAAUGAAUGUCUUGGUUGUGAGCAAGUGAUUAUGGCAAGCUAUUUGAAUAGCAGGAUUGAUAUGCAAAAAUUGGUUAUAAAGUUUGGCAACCUAAGAAUGAAUAAUAGUGGGGUAUGAUCGAUGGAGGUUUGAACUGAAAGAAGGCUGUUUUUCAAAUAUUUUCUUCAAGCACAAGACCAUUCAUUUUAGUA
This 569-nucleotide long non-coding RNA is filed under the name Androctonus crassicauda. The record is from RNAcentral. Lineage: Eukaryota; Metazoa; Arthropoda; Arachnida; Scorpiones; Buthidae.